GACGAACGCUGGCGGCGUGCUUAACACAUGCAAGUCGAACGGUAAGGCUCCAGCUUGCUGGGGUCCACGAGUGGCGAACGGGUGAGUAACACGUGGGUGAGCUGCCCUGCACUGCGGGAUAAGCCUGGGAAACUGGGGCUAAUACCGGAUAGGACCUAUGGGUGGUUACUGUGGUGGAAAGUUUUUUCGGUGUGGGUUGGGGUCGCGGCCUAUCAGCUUGUUGGUGGGGUAAUGGCCUACCACGGCGGCGAGGCGUAGCCGGCCUGAGAGGGUGGACGGCCACAUUGGGACUGAGCCACGGCCCAGACUACUCCGGGAGGCAGCAGUGGGGAAUAUUGCACAAUGGGCGGAAGCCUGAUGCAGCGACGCCGCGUGGGGGAUGACGGCCUUCGGGUUGUAAACUCAUUUCCCCAUAGACGAAGGGUUUCUGACGGUAGAUGGAGAAGAAGCCCCGGCUAACUACGUG
This 466-nucleotide ribosomal RNA is filed under the name uncultured bacterium. RNAcentral describes it as "partial 16S ribosomal RNA". It matches the Rfam family "Bacterial small subunit ribosomal RNA", at positions 28 to 507 of the family's 1533-position model. The record is from RNAcentral.